Molecule: non-coding RNA, 95 nt
Filed under: Microbacterium terrae
Lineage: Bacteria; Bacillati; Actinomycetota; Actinomycetes; Micrococcales; Microbacteriaceae
Description: Microbacterium ketosireducens TPP sequence
Rfam family: TPP riboswitch aptamer (THI element)
About the family: Vitamin B(1) in its active form thiamin pyrophosphate (TPP) is an essential coenzyme that is synthesised by coupling of pyrimidine and thiazole moieties in bacteria. The previously detected thiamin-regulatory element, thi box was extended, resulting in a new, highly conserved RNA secondary structure, the THI element, which is widely distributed in eubacteria and also occurs in some archaea.
Source: RNAcentral
CCGAGUGACACGGGGUGCCCGCCGCGCGGGCUGAGAUCACACCCGUCGAACCUGAUCUAGUUCGUACUGGCGAAGGGAUGUCGCAAUGAGCAUCG